CAAAAAGUUUUUGAACACUGCUACACUGCCAGGCCAAAAAAAAAAGGUCACACAUUCUAAUAUUUUGUUGAAGAGCUUUUAGCUUUGAUUGUGGCUUUACACAUUCGUUGUGGAACUGUUUCGAUAAGCUUCUGCAAUGUCAAAAGAUUUAUUUUUCACCAAGAUCUUGCAGCAGCAUUGAUGAUGGUAGAAUCUGACCGCUGCACAAAGUCAUGUCCAGCACAUCCCAAAGAUUCUCAAUGGGGUUAAGGUCUGGACUCAUGUUGGACUAAUGAUGAUCUCAUACUGCCUGAACCGCUCUUUCACAAUUCCAGCCCCAUGAAUCCUGGCAUUGUCAUCUUGGAAUAUGCUCGUGCCAUCAGGGAAGAAAAAAACUUUAGCAUUUAACCAAAAGGUUAUUGGAUACUGCUAUAUUAGACAAAAGUAGUAACAUCCCAACAUUUUAGGCAAAUGUUGUUGUUGUUUUUUUUGGCAUUUAACCAAGGAUAGCAACCACUUUUUACACUCUUCAGACUUUUCCAAGCCAACAUAAAGCUUUCCCUUUCUUGUUUAAAUUGGAAAUGUAAUUUGUAAGUGGAUGUUCGGUUGUUGUGAGUUAAUGUUAGUUAGUGUGGGGGGUGUGCUGUGUUGUGGGUUUUUGAGAGUGAAGCAGUGAGUUAGCUGGGUUAAGUGGCUCGGUGUGAUGUGAAUUGGGAGUGGAUGCUCAGUGGUGUAAGUUAAUGUUAGUUAGUGUGGGGGGGUGUGCUGUGUUGUGGGUUUUUGGGAGUGAAGCAGUGAGUUAGCAGCUAGUUGGCUCGGUGUGAUGUGAUUUGGGAGUGGACCGAAGGCAGUCUCGUCUACUUGCCCGAGUCUCGCGAUGCCUUGGCUUGUCCUGCUGCUGCUGCUGUAAGAUGGCGAAGGCGUGCACGCUCGCUGUCUCUCAGGUUUCAAGAAGCUUUGAAGUUUGUCAAAAAAUCGCUUGGGCUUUGGUUGGUUGUGAGCUGUGUGCUGCUGCAGUGCUGGGAACCGUGGGCUGCAGUGCUGGGAGAUGUGGGCUGAGGUAGUAGUUUGUAUAGUUUGGGAUCACACCAGAUCUGGGAGAUAACUAUACAGUCUACUGUCUUUCU
This 1106-nucleotide long non-coding RNA is filed under the name Astyanax mexicanus (Mexican tetra). RNAcentral's name for it is "lncRNA (ENSAMXG00005024180.1)". The stretch from base 1030 to 1106 matches the Rfam family "let-7 microRNA precursor family". Lineage: Eukaryota; Metazoa; Chordata; Actinopteri; Characiformes; Acestrorhamphidae. The record is from RNAcentral.